RNAcentral lists this long non-coding RNA (1249 nucleotides) under Gossypium barbadense (sea-island cotton). RNAcentral's name for it is "long non-coding RNA (GBAR_LNC004610)". The record is from RNAcentral. Lineage: Eukaryota; Viridiplantae; Streptophyta; Magnoliopsida; Malvales; Malvaceae.
GCUAGUUUGGGGAACAAAUGUAACCAUUCAAGUGAUGAUCCAAGGGCCAUUCAACUACAUGAAGAUGCAUGGAGUUUUCGGUCACUUAAAGGCUGAUUCAUGAAGGCAUUUUAAUGGUCAAGUGGAGAUGAAUGUAUGAGAGGAAAUGUUCAUGAACCAGUAGCUUAAGCCAAUCCAUCUCCUAUUUCCAUGCAUGGAUAUUCGGCCAUUAAGGAGUGCAUGAAGGGACCAUUCAAUUUGGAUGCAUGUGCAUGGAUUUUUCCUGCUAAUUAAAUGCUUAAAUAUGAACAAACAUUGCUUAAGGGCUAAGGAUGCACGGACGACACAAGGGGGAAUGAAUGCUGAAUUUCCAAGCAUUAAAUGUGGGUUCAUGUAAUGUGAAAAUACUUUGUACCUAAGGGAUACAUAUAUGGCCGGUUUUGAAGAGGCAUUUUUCAAGUCCUAUAAAUAUUCGGUCUAGGUCACUUUGGAAGAGUGAAUAAACCAAUCAAUCAACUUUGAAACUCAAACUGAGUUUAUACUCUUUCUUCUUUUUAGAAAUAAAAUCAAACUUAUCAUGAACUUACCUUCAUGCGGUGUUGAUUAAUAGAUCCUAUCGCUUCCCUUCUCAACUCUUUUUGAAGUGUAACGAUCAUCCUAUAUCGUUGGUUCCUAUCUCAAUAUAGAUAAUAGGUAGCGAUCUUUCUUAAAGCAACUAACUUGUUAAGACUUAACUUUGCUUUGUAGAAAUCAAGUCACACUAUUUUAUAGUGCUGGUUCAUUUUUGGAUCAAGUUUCGUUUUAUCAAUUUUUAUUCAUUCCGUUCUUCCAAUACCCUAAAUACAUUUCAAGUUCUAAGCUUAACUUCCCUUUUUUUCCGAGAAAGUACCUAUUUAGACGAAUAGGCAUAUCAAAUCAUGGGUCAAAUUCUAAACUCGUAAUCGGAUUCAUAUUAGUUGAUAACAUGGAUGAAGGGACAGAGUUUGAUAGAAUGAACAACUAAUUGGGGGGAUUUUUGUUUUUUUUUUGUUCUAUUCCUUUAAGUUUUUCUGUGUAAUAAUUUUUUUAAGUUGCAAUUAUGAAUAAAAUUGAGUUAAUUUGUAAAUUAUUCUUUUAAAAAAUGAGAAGUAUUGUAAUGUGAAUGUGCAUGUCUAGGAUAAGCCCUGGCAAGGAAAGACUGGGUAUUUAAGCAGUCGAAUGAGACUCACCUUCCUUUCUUGGGAGCCUACCUGGUGCAUAGCUCACAUUCAUUUUUUUGAUUUUGUCUCUU